This is a long non-coding RNA of Harmonia axyridis, 603 nucleotides long. RefSeq lists it as uncharacterized. The record is from RefSeq and is a predicted model, not a curated record. The transcript has 3 exons. Lineage: Eukaryota; Metazoa; Arthropoda; Insecta; Coleoptera; Coccinellidae.
UCCCCGAUAUCAUCCAUCGAUGGCAUUCAGAAUAGAAACGAUGUGAAUGAAAAUGAGAAACGUCAGAUGAUAUUUGACUACAAACAUUAGAAUUUGGACGAAUUCAGAGGGAAAAUUCAAGAAAUGAUGAUUCAGAUUCGAUUCAGAUCCGUUUUUCGAGGUAUAUUUGAUGAAAUUUUAGAAAGAAGCUCAGUGGGAAGCUUGAUUUGCCAGAAGCCUCUACCAGGAGUCAUUUGGUUAUUUGAGAAGUUUUUAAACAGAAAUUUGAGGAAAUGAUAGACUAGAACUGUAUGUACCGCCCUUUUAUGAUGGUAUUUUUGCGUUUUGUUGAGAUUUUCAUGGAAAUUCGUCAAAUCUUGAAGCAUUCCGUUUCAUGUGCAUUGUCAAGGACAUACGUAAAUAUAUCAUUUCGGACAGAUAUUGGCAUCCAACCUGAAGUAAGCCGGGUGUACAUCUGUGGCUAAUGUAGAUCUAUGGACAAUGAGGAUCUAUGGACGAAGAGGAUCUAUGGUCAAUGUAGAUCUACCUACAAGGUGUAUCUACGGGCAAAGAGGAUCUAUGGGCUACAUUGAUCUACCUACAAGGUAGAUCUACGGCGCGUAC